RNAcentral lists this long non-coding RNA (403 nucleotides) under Homo sapiens (human). RNAcentral describes it as "non-protein coding lnc-RTL1-8:2". Lineage: Eukaryota; Metazoa; Chordata; Mammalia; Primates; Hominidae. The record is from RNAcentral.
CACACCCCACUGGCUGUUGCAAGAGUGACGUUGCCAUUGGUGACUGCAGGUCUCCCAGCAGCCUGGUGCAGAGAGGCCACUUCAGGCUCGAACAGAGGCCCGGGUUUCCACGGGAGACAGCAGAGCCACGGUGUAGCAGGCAUCCAGCUCUCCCCCGAUCAGUUCCGUGACUUGUCGGAAGGCCCUCCCUCCCGGUCAGACGAAGAAAGGACUGGUGGCCUCUGGGGAUCCUGAGCCUGUCUCCAUGGGAACCAGCUCACCCACCCCCUCUCUGGCAAGUGUCCUAGUGGGAGCCAUGGGAAACCAUGGGCUCCAGCCCCUGGCCGCUGACUGGUUGGCGGCCUUCCGUUUUGAGAUCCCUGGCCCAGGGUAAUGGAGGGGACCUCAUCUUACAGAAGACACA